Molecule: ribosomal RNA, 301 nt
Filed under: uncultured bacterium
Lineage: Bacteria
Description: partial 16S ribosomal RNA
Rfam family: Bacterial small subunit ribosomal RNA
Source: RNAcentral
CAGCAGCCACGGUAAUACGUAGGGUGCGAGCGUUAAUCGGAAUUACUGGGCGUAAAGCGUGCGCAGGCGGUUGUGUAAGACAGGUGUGAAAUCCCCGGGCUUAACCUGGGAACUGCGCUUGUGACUGCACAGCUAGAGUAUGGCAGAGGGGGGUGGAAUUCCACGUGUAGCAGUGAAAUGCGUAGAGAUGUGGAGGAACACCGAUGGCGAAGGCAGCCCCCUGGGUCAAUACUGACGCUCAUGCACGAAAGCGUGGGGAGCAAACAGGAUUAGAUACCCCCGUAGUCCCUGUCUCUUAUAC